This 627-nucleotide ribosomal RNA is filed under the name Rhizoecus cacticans. Its description in RNAcentral is "eukaryotic LSU rRNA". It matches the Rfam family "Eukaryotic large subunit ribosomal RNA", at positions 2452 to 2847 of the family's 3401-position model. Lineage: Eukaryota; Metazoa; Arthropoda; Insecta; Hemiptera; Pseudococcidae. The record is from RNAcentral.
AUGCCGGGGUGUAGCAUAAGUGGGAGGCGGGGAUAACGCGGCGUCCGUCGAGAGGCGGGCGUCGUGCCUCGCUCGACCUUGAAAUACCACUACUCGCAUCGUUUCCUUACUUACUCGAUUGUGCGGAGCGCGUGCUGCGCGGUCAGUGGUUCGGCCGCUUGGUCUCGACGUCGGCCUCGUGUCGCGCGUCCCGAUCUCGCGCGUCGGAUCCGUUACGACCGUCAGUUACGAUCGAUUCCCGGUCGACUUAAGCGCGAUUAUCGCCGCCAUGCGCUUCCUCCGGUCUACGGCGGGGACGCGGGCCACAGCCUUUCGGGGUCGCGGUUCGCGCUCUCGUCGCCCGGAGAGCCUGACGACGUCGCGUGAUCCGAUUCGAGGACACCGCCAGGUGGGGAGUUUGGCUGGGGCGGUACAUCUGUCAAAGAAUAACGCAGGUGUCCUAAGGCCAGCUCAGCGAGGACGGAAACCUCGCGUAGAGCAAAAGGGCAAAAGCUGGCUUGAUCCCGGACGCUCAGUACGCGUAGGGACUGCGAAAGCAUCGGCCUAUCGAUCCUCUCGUCCGCUGAAGGGUUUUCABCGAGAGGGGUCAGAAAAGUUACACAGGGAUAAYUKMUKGAWGGCRHMWAC